Molecule: ribosomal RNA, 467 nt
Filed under: uncultured bacterium
Lineage: Bacteria
Description: partial 16S ribosomal RNA
Rfam family: Bacterial small subunit ribosomal RNA
Source: RNAcentral
GACGAACGCUGGCGGCGUGCUUAACACAUGCAAGUCGAACGGAAAGGCCCUGCUUUGGUGGGGGGCUCGAGUAGCGAACGGGUGGGUAACACGUGAGUAACCUGCCCUUGACUUUGGGAUAACUUCAGGAAACUGGGGCUAAUACCGGAUAGGAGCUCCUGCUGCAUGGUGGGGGUUGGAAAGUUUCGGCGGUUGGGGAUGGACUCGCGGCUUAUCAGCGUGUUGGUGGGGGAGUGGCUUACCAAGGCUUUGACGGGUAGCCGGCCUGAGAGGGUGACCGGCCACACUGGGACUGAGAUACGGCCCAGACUCCUACGGGAGGCAGCAGUGGGGAAUAUUGAACAAUGGGCGGAAGCCUGCUGCAGCAACGCCGCGUGCGGGAUGACGGCCUUCGGGUUGUAAACCGAUUUCGCCUGUGACGAAGCGUGAGUGACGGUAAUGGGUAAAGAAGCACCGGCUAACUACGU